CCAAGGCCACAAGCGUAGAGACAGUCAAAUGGCCAAACCAAAACGCAUGUUAUUUCAUAUCUUAAGCAUUCCAAGAUAAAGCCAAGUAGAAAAACAAUCCCAAGCCUUUGAAACCAGCGAAGGACGGAUGUACUACCAAUAAGCAGCAGUUGCAGCAAUCAAUCACUGGCACAGUUCAUUAACGGCGGAAACAGAAGCAAGAAACGAACUUCCUGAUAAGAUGUAUCUGCAGGAGCCCCUCACCGCAGAGCGCAGUGAUCGACUGGAUAUAUAAGGGCCUGCAGAGCUGGGAGAAUCCACACACCAGGUUCUUCGUAACAGAGACUGAAUUGCAAAUCUCUGAGAGGCUACAAACUGCAUUUCAUCACAGAAUGGAUCUAAGCUGGUAGCAAGAAUCAUAUG
Molecule: long non-coding RNA, 402 nt
Organism: Rhineura floridana
Lineage: Eukaryota; Metazoa; Chordata; Lepidosauria; Squamata; Rhineuridae
Exons: 3
Source: RefSeq, a predicted model, not a curated record